AAGGUAGUGAUGGAAUAGGUAGACAUGAAUAGCUUAGGCCUAUUUGAUUAUUAUUAUUAUAUCUUAUCCGUUCAAGUCGGAUUUACCUUA
Non-coding RNA from Rhynchosporium graminicola, 90 nucleotides. The record is from the annotation of a GenBank genome assembly. Lineage: Eukaryota; Fungi; Ascomycota; Leotiomycetes; Helotiales; Ploettnerulaceae.